This 449-nucleotide ribosomal RNA is filed under the name uncultured bacterium. Its description in RNAcentral is "bacterial SSU rRNA". It matches the Rfam family "Bacterial small subunit ribosomal RNA", at positions 331 to 793 of the family's 1533-position model. The record is from RNAcentral.
CCAGACUCCUACGGGAGGCAGCAGUGGGGAAUAUUGGACAAUGGGGGGAACCCUGAUCCAGCGACGCCGCGUGAGUGAAGAAGUAUUUCGGUAUGUAAAGCUCUAUCAGCAGGGAAGAAAGAAAUGACGGUACCUGACUAAGAAGCCCCGGCUAACUACGUGCCAGCAGCCGCGGUAAUACGUAGGGGGCAAGCGUUAUCCGGAUUUACUGGGUGUAAAGGGAGCGUAGACGGCGAUGCAAGUCUGAAGUGAAAGCCCGGGGCCCAACCCCGGGACUGCUCUGGAAACUGCGUCGCUGGAGUACGGGAGGGGCAGGCGGAAUUCCUGGUGUAGCGGUGAAAUGCGUAGAUAUCAGGAGGAACACCGGCGGCGAAGGCGGCUUGCUGGACGAUGACUGACGUUGAGGCUCGAAAGCGUGGGGAGCAAACAGGAUUAGAUACCCGCGUACG